RNAcentral lists this long non-coding RNA (1836 nucleotides) under Ornithorhynchus anatinus (platypus). Its description in RNAcentral is "lncRNA (ENSOANG00000044998.1)". Lineage: Eukaryota; Metazoa; Chordata; Mammalia; Monotremata; Ornithorhynchidae. The record is from RNAcentral.
UUUGCCAAAGAGGGUGCUUAAGAAGGUAUGAUCUCAUUCCAGGCCAAACCUGGGGUCAGUUGCCCCAUCCGGGUCUACUGUUGGUAGACAGGAAGAGGAGCAGGGGUGAAGGACCAUAUUGACAUCGGGGCCAAGGAAGGAGCCUGAGCUCCAGGUGCAUCAUGGGAGACCUGGCCCCCUGUUCCAACCCUGCUUCCUCAGGAAAUGAUGGUGCAGACAAGACUGGACAGGAGGGAAGCCAUAGAGCAGCCCCGAACCGGACCACCGACCCCAUGGACAGCGGAGGACUGACCAGCUACCCACCGGAUGCUAUGGACACUGAUAGAUUGCGCCGGCCCCCCGUUGGGCAAUUGGUUGGCACUGGGCUGCUGCCCCCUGGCCACCGCCACUGCCCCCCAGACACCCCCUCCCUCCCACCUCCAAGCCCACAAUUGUAUCCCCUCCUUCCAGACCAUGCCAUUUCCUUUGGGGGUCAAGGGUCAAACACCGCAUCAGAGGGGCCAAACCAGUCCCGUGCAACUCCAGGAGAGGAUGGAGGUGUGUGCGUGUGUGUGCACCUCAUGCGUGAGAGUGAGGGCCGGGAGCAGAGCAGGGUGAGAGGGGCCGCCCCUCUUUGGGCCGGUAGAGGGUUAUGGAAACAGGGGUCUAGAGCUUCAGGCAGGUGCUCCGUGGAAGGACCUGAGAGUGGGUGUGAAGUCGCCCCGGGGCCCUUAAUUCUAUAGUCGGUGCGACUUCCUCCUGCCCAGGCCCAUCCUGUUGGUAGCUGUCUGCCCAGCUCUGGCUUCAAGAGUACAGACUCCCUCUACCGUCCGAGGGGGGUGCCCCUGGGGGAGGGGGAUACAGGGACAGAAGUAAUCAGGGGUGUGCCUGUCUCUGUGUAUGCGUGUGUGACUACCCUAUAUCCUCCAUCUCUCCUGGACGAGCAGAAUGAGAAGGGGAGAGGCCUAGCAGCACAUGCUAGAGUGGGAAGAUGCACAGUGGUUUUCCCCCAUCCUACCAACAGAAAUGGUACGGUCUGGCCCCCUCCUCUCCUCCUCCCCUCUCUGUCCCCUUGGCGGCCUGGGCUCUGUAAGCCCGAAUGCAUCUGUAUGAAAUUAAAAUGGAUACUUUUUUCCUCUUUACCGAGUCCCUUGAUCCAGUGGCAGCUGCCUCUACUCCCCAAAAGGAUUAUCAUUGGGGGGGCAUCCACUGUUACUUAAAGCAGGAGGAUGUCACCAGCUUCUACUAUGUAGAUUGACAACCUAGCCUCCUCCCUCCCUCUACAUUUCAUUCCUUUAGUUUCAGCCAGUCAGGGUAAGGGGUCUGGGGACUUGGGAGUGCAAAAAGAGAGGGUGAUGUCACCCUCUUUUUCUCCUUUCCUCUUCCCCGGACCCAGCCUUAGACUCUACAGAAGAAUAGAGCUCCCAUGGGUGGGGGAAUCUUAGAUUAUUUCUCCUUGCCCCUAUCAGCUUUAUCAGGCUGGGCUAGGCCUAAAGGCAUGACCCUCUUAGGCCCAAGAGACAGAGAGCGGGCAACAGGGGUUAGGUGGGCAGUGGUUCAGCCUGGAGGUUGUCCCAGGCUCCACUACGUGGUCAAUCAGUGAAUCAGUCAUGUUGAAGAGAUUUAAGUGACUUGCAGUGUGACUCUAGUGGUGUCCCUUUGUCUGGGUCUCUGCUUUCCCCUCCCCCUUUUCUAAUAAUAAACACAAUACGUGUGGUAUUAAGUGCUUAAAUGUUAGACUAGACAUAAUUCAUUUAUAUGCAUGUAUUCUCCCCGUCUAGUCUGUGAACUCCAUGUGGGCAGGGAAUGUAUCUACUCACUCUGCUGUAAUGGUAGUAGUAAUAAUGAUAAUUGCGG